GGCCUGGUAGCCAAGUAGUAAGGCACGGGUCUGCAAAACCCUUAUACGCGGGUGCAAUUCCCGCCCAGGCCU
RNAcentral lists this transfer RNA (72 nucleotides) under Patescibacteria group bacterium. RNAcentral describes it as "tRNA-Cys". It matches the Rfam family "tRNA". Rfam says of the family: Transfer RNA (tRNA) molecules are approximately 80 nucleotides in length. Their secondary structure includes four short double-helical elements and three loops (D, anti-codon, and T loops). The record is from RNAcentral.